This 497-nucleotide ribosomal RNA is filed under the name uncultured bacterium. RNAcentral's name for it is "partial 16S ribosomal RNA". It matches the Rfam family "Bacterial small subunit ribosomal RNA", at positions 28 to 507 of the family's 1533-position model. The record is from RNAcentral.
GACGAACGCUGGCGGCGUGCCUAAUACAUGCAAGUUGAGCGAUGAAGAUUGGUGCUUGCACCAAUUUGAAGAGCAGCGAACGGGUGAGUAACGCGUGGGGAAUCUGCCUUUGAGCGGGGGACAACAUUUGGAAACGAAUGCUAAUACCGCAUAACAACUUUAAACAUAAGUUUUAAGUUUGAAAGAUGCAAUUGCAUCACUCAAAGAUGAUCCCGCGUUGUAUUAGCUAGUUGGUGAGGUAAAGGCUCACCAAGGCGAUGAUACAUAGCCGACCUGAGAGGGUGAUCGGCCACAUUAGGACUGAGACACGGCCCAAACUCCUACGGGAGGCAGCAGUAGGGAAUCUUCGGCAAUGGACGAAAUUCUGACCGAGCAACGCCGCGUGAGUGAAGAAGGUUUUCGGAUCGUAAAACUCUGUUGGUAGAGAAGAACGUUGGUGAGAGUGGAAAGCUCAUCAAGUGACGGUAACUACCCAGAAAGGGACGGCUAACUACGUG